AUGAAAGCUCCCCAGCAGCACCGUAAACCAACUGAUACAGAAGCAAAGGUCAAACAUGGUGGCGAUAAGUUGCAUUGCCUGAAGCCAGGGAAAUAUACCAACAAGUCAUCAGGCAAUAUAGGGGCAAAGUGCAGAAGAGAAGAUGGUCAAUUGUUUACCGGCAGUAAGAUUGCACUGAAGGGUGGUAGCUUUAUGGAAGUACCAUUUAGCAAUUCGACAAACUUAUCUGCUCAACCACCAAAUUAUUCUAAAAAGAUGAAGCUUCAGUUUUUCCCAAUAGAUGAGGCGAUUCAAAAGGUUCUACAGCAGGAGAAACACAAUCCUUACCUGGAGUUGACCUUGGCUCCUCGAAAGAAGAUGUCCUCAAUUGUGCAACAUUUGAACACAAAAUGGGGCCGUUCCAGCUGUGCAAAAGGCGAGCUCAUGCUCUUCCCAUAUGGUGCUAGACCGGAUAGCUUAGUUGGCAGUGAAAAAUGGACUGUUAAUGAUUCUUGCACUGCUGCUGAUGUUUAUGUUGCUGUUGGCAGCCCUUCAACAUUUCGCUUAAGGUAUGGAUGGUUUGAGCAACAAAGCAGUGAAGAGUCUUUGGCACCCGUGCACUCUGCAGAAAAGACCAUCGGUGACAAACCUUCAGAUCAUUUUGUGUUUCCAAACAAACCUUCAGAUCCUUUUGAGUUUCCAAACAAACCUUUAGAUCCUUUUGAGUUUCCAAACAAACCUUCAGAUCCUUUUGAGUUUCCAAGCAAACAUUCAGAUCCUUUUGAGUUUCCAAGUAAAUUUACCAGUCCAUCCGAUGUGUGUAACACAGAACAGACUGUGGUGGAUAACCAAAGCAAAGUGACGCCUCUCUCAUGGAUAGACUGCAUAUCCAAUAUCAGUUUCGGAGCACUCUUAUCACAGGCUGUACCCUCUCAAGACAGUAAACAACCGCCUUUGCAAAAUAGCUCGAUUCUCCAGCAGAUUCCUGCUACGUGCGAUUCAUUUGAUGCUGCUAUUGCCUCCUUGAUUGCUCAUCAGCAAACAAGUAACCAACCGAAGGUCUCAAAUCCAUCUGUUUGGGAUGCAGAAGAAACUUGUCAUGCAUUUCCCCGGAAUCAAACUUCAGCCAGGAUGUUCUCUUCAGCUCAUGGCAACAGUAGUGCUAUUACCUCGUCUAUCCUGGGUGCAAUUCCUGAGUCUGAUACAGAUGGCAACCAGCGUUGUUCUACUGAAGGCAGGAAAGAGGAAUCAACCCCUCAGAUACCAGGCUUGGGCAAUAAUGAUAACGUGAAGCCAGAUGAGCCAAUGCCUGAAUCGACCGGUGAGCCAGAGCUUGGGGCAUUUGACUCUAGGCUUUUGAGUGGGACCGACAGUUUAGGUCUAAGCGGCUUGCUAGCAAACAGCUUGGAUGCAUUUCCGAAGUUCACUGUUUCAAACAGCUGCUUGAGAAGUUCAGUGAUACAAGAUGUUGAGGAAGAGGCAUAUCGUGAUGGCCUAGAAGCACAAGUUGCAAAUGACGGCGUUUCCAGAGACAAAGAGAAGGGGUCUGAAGAUUACUAUCUUAGCUUCACUCAACUCUUGACGGGACCAGUUCCAUAUGAUCUUUUAACCGGGUCAUAG
Molecule: ribosomal RNA, 1599 nt
Filed under: Triticum aestivum (bread wheat)
Lineage: Eukaryota; Viridiplantae; Streptophyta; Magnoliopsida; Poales; Poaceae
Description: partial small subunit ribosomal RNA
Source: RNAcentral